UACAGAGGUCCCAAGCGUUGUUCGGAUUCACUGGGCGUAAAAGGGGUGCGUAGGUGGUCGGGUAAGUCUGAUGUGAAAUCUCCGAGCUUAACUCGGAAAUGGCAUUGGAUACUAUUCGGCUGGAGGUUGGAGGGGGACUGGAAUUCUCGGUGUAGCAGUGAAAUGCGUAGAUAUCGAGAGGAACACCAGUGGCGAAGGCGAGUCCCUGGACAACACCUGACCACUGAGGCACGAAAGCUAGGGGAGCAAACAGG
This 254-nucleotide ribosomal RNA is filed under the name uncultured bacterium. RNAcentral's name for it is "partial 16S ribosomal RNA". It matches the Rfam family "Bacterial small subunit ribosomal RNA", at positions 524 to 776 of the family's 1533-position model. The record is from RNAcentral.